CAGUCGCGCGGUAAUACAGAGGGUGCGAGCGUUAAUCGGAUUUACUGGGCGUAAAGCGUGCGUAGGCGGCUUCUUAAGUCGGAUGUGAAAUCCCUGAGCUUAACUUAGGAAUUGCAUUCGAUACUGGGAAGCUAGAGUAUGGGAGAGGAUGGUAGAAUUCCAGGUGUAGCGGUGAAAUGCGUAGAGAUCUGGAGGAAUACCGAUGGCGAAGGCAGCCAUCUGGCCUAAUACUGACGCUGAGGUACGAAAGCAUGGGGAGCAAACAGGAUUAGAUACCCCUGUAGUCCCUGUCUCUUAUACC
RNAcentral lists this ribosomal RNA (301 nucleotides) under uncultured bacterium. RNAcentral's name for it is "partial 16S ribosomal RNA". It matches the Rfam family "Bacterial small subunit ribosomal RNA", at positions 509 to 808 of the family's 1533-position model. The record is from RNAcentral.